UACGAAGGGUGCAAGCGUUACUCGGAAUUACUGGGCGUAAAGCGUGCGUAGGUGGUUUGUUAAGUCUGUUGUGAAAGCCCCGGGCUCAACCUGGGAAUGGCAAUGGAUACUGGCAAGCUAGAGUGCGGUAGAGGGUAGUGGAAUUCCCGGUGUAGCGGUGAAAUGCGUAGAGAUCAGGAAGAACACCGGUGGCGAAAGCGCUCUGCUAGGCCGCAACUGACACUGAGGGACGAAAGCUAGGGGAGCGAACAGG
RNAcentral lists this ribosomal RNA (253 nucleotides) under uncultured bacterium. RNAcentral describes it as "partial 16S ribosomal RNA". It matches the Rfam family "Bacterial small subunit ribosomal RNA", at positions 524 to 776 of the family's 1533-position model. The record is from RNAcentral.